GAUGGGAGUGGUGGUGUGCGCCUGUAAUCCCAGCAGCUUGGGAGGCUGAGACAGGAGGAUUGCAAGUUCAAAUCCAGCCUCAGCAUCAGUGAGGUGCUUAGCAACUCAGUGAGAUCCUGUCUCUA
This 125-nucleotide small RNA is filed under the name Marmota monax (woodchuck). Lineage: Eukaryota; Metazoa; Chordata; Mammalia; Rodentia; Sciuridae. The record is from RNAcentral.